CCUGAGUGAGACUCACCCCACUCGGUUAUACUCCAUCCCUUUUAAAAUAUUCCUAUAUCCACGAAUAAGAGCGAUUAA
Chrysoperla carnea is the source of this 78-nucleotide long non-coding RNA. RefSeq lists it as uncharacterized. The transcript is spliced from 3 exons. The record is from RefSeq and is a predicted model, not a curated record. Lineage: Eukaryota; Metazoa; Arthropoda; Insecta; Neuroptera; Chrysopidae.